AAAUGAAUAGACGGGGGCUCACACAAGCGGUGGAGCAUGUGGCUUAAUUCGAAGCAACGCGAAGAACCUUACCUAAGCUUGACAUGCACGGAUCAACUCCAGGAAACUGGAGCCACAGCCGCAAGGCCGGAACGUGCACAGGUGCUGCAUGGCUGUCGUCAGCUCGUGCUGUGAAGUGUCGGGUUAAGUCCCUCAACGAGCGCAACCCCUGUCGCUACUUGCUAACGCGUAAUGGCGAGGACUGUAGCGAGACUGCCGGUGUCAAACCGGAGGAAGGUGGGGAUGACGUCAAGUCCUCAUGGCCUUUAUGCUUAGGGCUGCACACGUGCUACAAUGGUAUGUACAGAACGAUGCAAGACCGCAAGGUGGAGCAAAUCGCCAAAACAUACCCCAGUUCAGAUUGAGGGCUGCAAUUCGCCCUCAUGAAGUCGGAAUCGCUAGUAAUCGCGGAUCAGCUACGCCGCGGUGAAUAUGUUCCUGAGCCUUGCACACACCGCCCGU
RNAcentral lists this ribosomal RNA (501 nucleotides) under uncultured bacterium. RNAcentral's name for it is "bacterial SSU rRNA". It matches the Rfam family "Bacterial small subunit ribosomal RNA", at positions 903 to 1397 of the family's 1533-position model. The record is from RNAcentral.